Molecule: ribosomal RNA, 615 nt
Filed under: Triticum aestivum (bread wheat)
Lineage: Eukaryota; Viridiplantae; Streptophyta; Magnoliopsida; Poales; Poaceae
Description: partial small subunit ribosomal RNA
Source: RNAcentral
AUGCGCCACUGGAGUUUGGCACUGAGCUUGGGGCUGCGGUGUCGGAUCAUGACAGGGAUGGUCCUUUGUUCUUCAUGGAUCAGUCUGCCGGUAACGAUGAGGAUGACUUGCCUGUUUAUGAGGAGGAUUUCGGCAGUGAAGUUGAUGAAGUUGAGAAAGGAGGCUGAUGAGCGUGUGAUCUCGGGCAGAGAGUAUGAAGCUAGGUUGCGUGGUCACCAUGCCAAGUUGAACCCCUUUACCGGCUGGGCAGAUAUGGACCGUAAAGCUCUUCGUCCUGGGAUGUACGACGGUGAAUCCGAUGAGGACAGCGGAGUCGACAAUAUUCUUCGAAACGACGAUGAGCUUGUUGUCAGGGGUACUGCUAAGCUUCUUCCUGACAUGUUGGACUUCUCAAGGCUUGUUGAUGCUAAUGCGCAGGAGCCAUCCAGUGGUCCUAUCAAUUCCGUGCAGUUUCAUAGGAAUGGGCAGCUGAUGCUUGCUGCUGACCUGGAUAAACAUCUGAGAUUUUUCCAGAUUGACGGGAAAAGAAACCCCAAGAUCCAGAGCAUAUAUAUGAAUAUAUCGAGGAUUGUCUGGUUCACAAGGCAUCCUUUCUACCUGAUGGCUCUGAAGUGA